AACACUCUUUUCUCAUCCUCCAUCUCCCUUAGGGUUUUGACGACAUUGAGCACCUCCUCCUUCUUGUGAUGCAAUUUUCCUCGUGGCUCUAAGGUACUACCGUUGAUCUCCUCUCUCACCAUGAUGGCAAUUGUUUUCCUCCAUCAUUGUUGAUGAUUGGAAAUCUUCAGAAAAUGGAGAAGAGAGAACUGAACCAAUAUUUUAUAGGGAAAAUGAAAUAAGAGAUAUGUUUUCAUCCACAUGUGGGACGUAAUAUUCCUCACAAGUCAGACACAAGGAGGUGGCGUAGAAGACAGAAGCGGGAGCAGCUUCUCUGAGAGAGAGAGAGCCAUACACAAUCAAAAAGAGCAAAAUAGGUUAUUGCAAACAGAGCAUCAGAGAUUCUUGGCCAUAAGCGUUGUGUGAAGUUUGUGCAUCCAAAUGACCAUGUUAAUAAAGCACAAUCUUCUAAUGAUACCUUCCUAACUAUAAUGCACAUUGCAGCAGCAAUGGAAAUAAACUCAACACUUUGCCAAGCACGACUUAUCUGCUCUAAUAUUCGCUUAAUUAAAAAAGGUCAAUUUGAGCUGGAGAAUCUCCGCAAAGACUUCAACAAGAUCAAUACGGAAGUCUCCAUAGUAUAGUGUGUCAGUAUCUUUAUUUUUGGAAGUAGGUUUUUUUUUUCUUUUUUUAAUACUAGUA
This is a long non-coding RNA of Gastrolobium bilobum, 681 nucleotides long. RefSeq lists it as uncharacterized. The transcript has 6 exons. NCBI's taxonomy places the organism in Eukaryota, Viridiplantae, Streptophyta, Magnoliopsida, Fabales, Fabaceae. The record is from RefSeq and is a predicted model, not a curated record.